GACGAACGCUGGCGGCGUGCUUAACACAUGCAAGUCGAACGGGUCUGCCCUGUUUUUUGCGGGGUGGGUCAGUGGCGAACGGGUGAGUAACACGUGAGUAACCUGCCCCUCACUUCUGGAUAACCGCUUGAAAGGGUGGCUAAUACGGGGUGUUCUGGCUGUGCCGCAUGGUGUGGCUGGGAAAGAUUCACUUUUGUGGUGGUUUGGUGGGGGAUGGGCUCGCGGCCUAUCAGCUUGGUGGUGGGGUGAUGGCCUGCCAAGGGUUGAGGGGUAGCAGGCCUGGGAGGGUGGGCGGUCAGAGUGGGACUGAGAUACGGCCCAGACUCAGGCGCGAGGCAGAAGUGGGGGGUAUGGCACAGUGGGCGGAAGUGUGAUGCGGCGGCGUCGCGUGAGGGAUGGAGGCCUGCGGGUUGUGAACGUCUUUCGCCGGUGAAGAAGGUCCUGCUCUUGGGGGUGGGGUUGACGGUAGCCGGGUUAUGAAGCGCCGGCUAACUACGUG
This 499-nucleotide ribosomal RNA is filed under the name uncultured bacterium. RNAcentral describes it as "partial 16S ribosomal RNA". It matches the Rfam family "Bacterial small subunit ribosomal RNA", at positions 28 to 507 of the family's 1533-position model. The record is from RNAcentral.